Molecule: ribosomal RNA, 464 nt
Filed under: Gephyromantis enki
Lineage: Eukaryota; Metazoa; Chordata; Amphibia; Anura; Mantellidae
Description: partial 16S ribosomal RNA
Rfam family: Bacterial large subunit ribosomal RNA
Source: RNAcentral
UCACUUGUUCUUUAAAUGAGGACUCGUAUCAAUGGCACCACGAGGACUUUACUGUCUCCUUUUUCUAAUCAGUGAAACUAAUCUUCCCGUGAAGAAGCGGGAAUAAAUAGAUAAGACGAGAAGACCCCAUGGAGCUUUAAGCUUACUGCACCUCUAUUUUCUAUAACCUCUUAUUAAACGGAAUACUGCUUACUUGCUUUAGGUUGGGGUGACCGCGGAGUAUAACAUAACCUCCAUGAUGAACAAAACUAUUUUCUUAUCUAAGAACAACAGUUCUAAGAAUUAGUAUUCUAACAUAAAAUGAUCCGAUAAUCGAUCAACGGACUAAGUUACCCUGGGGAUAACAGCGCAAUCCAUUUCAAGAGCCCCUAUCGACAAAUGGGUUUACGACCUCGAUGUUGGAUCAGGAUAUCCUAGUGGUGCAGCAGCUACUGAAGGUUCGUUUGUUCAACGAUUAAAAUCCU